Molecule: ribosomal RNA, 650 nt
Filed under: uncultured Pleurocapsales cyanobacterium
Lineage: Bacteria; Bacillati; Cyanobacteriota; Cyanophyceae; Pleurocapsales
Description: bacterial SSU rRNA
Rfam family: Bacterial small subunit ribosomal RNA
Source: RNAcentral
CGGACGGGUGAGUAACGCGUGAGAAUCUGCCUUCAGGAUGGGGAUAACAGAGGGAAACUCUGCUAGGACCCAAUGUGCCGAGAGGUGAAACAAAAUUGCCUGAAGAUGAGCUCGCGUCGGAUUAGCUAGUUGGUGAGGUAACGGCUCACCAAGGCACGAUCCGUAGCUGGUCUGAGAGGAUGAUCAGCCACACUGGGACUGAGACACGGCCCAGCUCCUACGGGAGGCAGCAGUGGGGAAUUUUCCGCAAUGGGCGAAAGCCUGACGGAGCAAACCGCGUGAGGGAGGAAGGCCUUUGGGUUGUAAACCUCUUUUCUCAAGGAAGAAGCGUGACGGUACUUGAGGAAUCAGCAUUGGCUAACUCCGUCCAGCAGCCGCGGUAAGACGGAGGAUGCAAGCGUUAUCCGGAAUGAUUGGGCGUAAAGCUCCGCAGGCGGCUCGUCAAGUCUGUUGUUAAAGAGUGGGGCUUAACCCCAUCAGAGCGAGGAAACUGAGGAGCUAGAGGGUGGUAGGGGUAGAGGGAAUUCCCAGUGUAGCGGUGAAAGCGUAGAUAUUGGGAAGAACACCAGUGGCGAAAGCGCUCUACUGGGCCAUCACUGACGUGAGGGACGAAAGCUAGGGGAGCGAAAGGGAUUAGAUACCCCUGUAGU